UACGUAGGGGGCUAGCGUUGUCCGGAAUCAUUGGGCGUAAAGAGCGUGUAGGCGGUCCGGUAAGUCCGCUGUGAAAGUCGGGGGCUCAACCCUCGAAUGCCGGUGGAUACUGUCGGGCUAGAGUGCGGAAGAGGCGAGUGGAAUUCCUGGUGUAGCGGUGAAAUGCGCAGAUAUCAGGAGGAACACCAGUGGCGAAGGCGGCUCACUGGCCCGGUACUGACGCUGAGGCACGAAAGCGUGGGGAGCAAACAGG
RNAcentral lists this ribosomal RNA (253 nucleotides) under uncultured bacterium. RNAcentral describes it as "partial 16S ribosomal RNA". It matches the Rfam family "Bacterial small subunit ribosomal RNA", at positions 524 to 776 of the family's 1533-position model. The record is from RNAcentral.